AUUGCUUCUUGGCCUUUUGGCUAAGGUCAAAUAUAGUAUCUGUUCUUAUCAGUUUAAUAUAAGAGCUAAUAAUUAAUGUGUGUACUAUGUGCCAGUGUCUGCUCUUAUCAUUCCGUUAGUAAACUCAUGUAAGCCUCACACAAACUUAUUAGGUAGGUACUACUACUAUCCUUAUUUAAUAGAAAAGGC
This is a small nuclear RNA of Phyllostomus discolor (pale spear-nosed bat), 189 nucleotides long. RefSeq annotates it as U2 spliceosomal RNA. Lineage: Eukaryota; Metazoa; Chordata; Mammalia; Chiroptera; Phyllostomidae. The record is from RefSeq and is a predicted model, not a curated record. The transcript has a single exon.